This is a long non-coding RNA of Chelonia mydas (Green sea turtle), 666 nucleotides long. RefSeq lists it as uncharacterized. Lineage: Eukaryota; Metazoa; Chordata; Testudines; Cheloniidae. The record is from RefSeq and is a predicted model, not a curated record. The transcript is spliced from 2 exons.
CACAAGAGGCUAAUACUGCGUUUAGAAGACAUAUAGCAAUUCUUCUAAUGAAGGAGUCAGGUAAUUACUUUCUACCAUGUACUGUGGACUCAUUAGGCAGAUGUGAAGACAACAGGAAGAGUGGAAUUAUGUCACGUAGCAGACAGUUAUCUUAAUACCCCUAAAGUGGGAUAUCUCACAGGUUUGGUUCUGUAACGGUGACUAUGAAUCAAUAAUAUCUUUAAGUACACAAAAAUUUGAAUGGGGUGAAUGGUUGCUAUUGAUCGACCAGUUGAAUGAAAUUGGUAUUUUUAUAUAGGUGCAGUAAAGUAAAAAUUUGAGAAAAUAUGACUCCCAAAAAAGAAAAAGGUAUGUUCAAACAAGUGACUGGAUUAAAAUAUUGACAUUAAUUAAUAAAUCAAGAUUUGCAUUUUCAGUGUUGGUCGUAAUGUAUUCAUCAUUUCAUCGCGCUAUAUUUAUUUUUCAGAAAGCGUGGAGGACUCCUGCAUCUACCGCAGCCUUGUCAACUGUGAAAAGGAAAGUGAGGAUUGCACGAUGGUCCAGUGUGAUUCUUGCAAGAGGUGGGCACAUAUGCCCUGCAUUCCAGAAGGAACCAAUCAAGACUACCUGACUGAUGAGAAGAAAGAGUACAACUGCAAAAAAUGUGCAUAGUUCCCUUCUUUACCA